AGCGAACGCUGGCGGCAGGCCUAACACAUGCAAGUCGAACGGACCCUUCGGGGUUAGUGGCGGACGGGUGAGUAACACGUGGGAACGUGCCUUUAGGUUCGGAAUAACUCCUGGAAACGGGUGGUAAUGCCGAAUGUGCCCUUCGGGGGAAAGAUUUAUCGCCUUUAGAGCGGCCCGCGUCUGAUUAGCUAGUUGGUGGGGUAAUGGCCCACCAAGGCUACGAUCAGUAGCUGGUCUGAGAGGAUGACCAGCCACAUUGGGACUGAGACACGGCCCAAACUCCUACGGGAGGCAGCAGUGGGGAAUCUUGCGCAAUGGGCGAAAGCCUGACGCAGCAUGCCGCGUGUAUGAUGAAGGUCUUAGGAUUGUAAAAUACUUUCACCGGUGAAGAUAAUGACUGUAGCCGGAGAAGAAGCCCCGGCUAACUUCGUGCCAGCAGCCGCGGUAAUACGAAGGGGGCUAGCGUUGCUCGGAAUUACUGGGCGUAAAGGGAGCGUAGGCGGACAUUUAAGUCAGAGGUGAAAUCCCGGAGCUUAACUUCGGAACUGCCUUUGAUACUGGGUGUCUUGAGUGUGAGAGAGGUAUGUGGAACUCCGAGUGUAGAGGUGAAAUUCGUAGAUAUUCGGAAGAACACCAGUGGCGAAGGCGACACACUGGCUCAUUACUGACGCUGAG
RNAcentral lists this ribosomal RNA (675 nucleotides) under uncultured Alphaproteobacteria bacterium. RNAcentral's name for it is "bacterial SSU rRNA". It matches the Rfam family "Bacterial small subunit ribosomal RNA", at positions 28 to 750 of the family's 1533-position model. The record is from RNAcentral. Lineage: Bacteria; Pseudomonadati; Pseudomonadota; Alphaproteobacteria.